Bufo gargarizans (Asiatic toad) is the source of this 603-nucleotide long non-coding RNA. RefSeq lists it as uncharacterized. The transcript is spliced from 9 exons. NCBI's taxonomy places the organism in Eukaryota, Metazoa, Chordata, Amphibia, Anura, Bufonidae. The record is from RefSeq and is a predicted model, not a curated record.
AGCGGUCCGUCUCUAUAUAAUUUGGGCACAGCGCAGUCGUCGGCCUUUUAGAGAGGGAUGCCCGGUGGAGAGGCCGAGCGGGUGGAGCUUCCUUCCACCAUGUGCCACGCUGUGGCGGUUCUAUCGGACCCUCCCUGACAAGGUUCCUGGAGGACAUGAGUAGCUCUUAAUCCUAGUCUGCAGAAGACCGCCAUACCACUGCUUGCUGGAAAGUGGUGGAGCUUCCUUCCACCAUGUGCCACGCUGUGGCGGUUCUAUCGGACCCUCCCUGACGAGGUUCCUGGAGGACAUGAGUAGCUCUUAAUCCUAGUCUGCAGAAGACCGCCAUACCACUGCUUGCUGGAAAGUGGUGGAGCUUCCAUCCACCAUGUGCCACGCUGUGGCGGUUCUAUCGGACCCUCCCUGACGAGGUUCCAGGAGGACAUGAGUAGCUCUUAAUCCUAGUCUGCAGAAGACCGCCAUACCACUGCUUGCUGGAAAGUGGUGCUCCGCUCCCGGCAGCUGAGGACAGGGACGUCUCUGCAGGAUGGAGGCGAAAUAGAAGAUCUGAACCCCUUAAUCCUAAUGUGAAUCACUCAGAAUAAAACUUCUCCUGAAGCUUGA